GCGCGCCUAGGGCCGGUGGGUGGCGGGGGAGGCAGAGUUGACCCCUGCCAAUCGUUCAGACCGUCAUACGUGGAGUAGGGAGGUGGGAGACCUGGCCGGGUGUGGGGACUGCCCCGGCGGGGUAGACAUGGGAGGUGGUUGGGCGCGGCGGGGUGAGGGGCAGAGAUGCGUGGGGAGAGGGUCAGAGGAGGGAUGCGGAAGCAGUGAGUGGACAGGAGUGCGCGUGCCAAAGAGACCUGUGGGACGUGAGGGUAGCUUGGACCGGAACUCUCGCUGGAGGAUCCCAUUGCCCUCUGGAGCGAGCAGGGGACCGCUUCCCACCGUAUUCUCCCGUCAUUGUUCAGAACCCGGGGAGAGCCCAUUGGGGAUUGGGUUGGAAGGAGUUUUCAGGGAUUCCCAGGACUGGAAGAGUGAAGAAGAUGUACCCAGAAGAGGCGCAGAUCACCACCAGCCUUCUCGCUCCCCACCCCCACCUCCUCGUCUAAAGGAGCCAGAGGGAAAGCUGAAGGCAGGCCCAGUCUUGCAGCCGGAAAACCCGAUCUCUCUAGUUUUCCUUCACCGAACCCUACUGUAACAGACACUGCCUAUUUUGUCACAUUUCGCAAGCAAAGUUAAUACCCCCCCCCCAUCCACACCCCUUCCUUAUCACUCCUCUGAGGUUCUAUUCUCCUUUCUCCACCCAGUAUCCUCUAUCUGGUUGUUUAUCUUUUUAAGUUCUUGUAUCAUACCCCUGGCCUGUGAUUUCUUCUGUAGUAAUUCUGGCCCAGAUAACACACUGAAAAGCCUUCAGAGCCUGUAAUGUUCUUAGAUAAACCUUUAACCAUUGGCCCUUUUAAAAAUGGGCUUUAGGAGAUGUUUCUAAGGCAGCCGUCUCUGUCAAACGCAGAACCAGUAGAAAGACGACCUCCUCUCCCCAAGCUGUUCGCUUGUCUGAUACAAUAUUUAAAACAUGAACCAAGGAAUUGGUUUUAGCUCCUAAUUUUGGAUGGCCUGUGGCCAGUCUCUUUGCCUCAUUUCCCCAUCUGUGAGGAUGGGGCUUCACAUCUUGGUUACACAGUGGAGGAAGUAAGUGCAAACUGUUUCUGGCGAACUGGGAACUAGGAAUAGGAGAGUAAGUGCUUGAAGAGCCACAGAUGGGAGAGUAUUGGUGAAGGGGAAAUUCUAAGUGGACAAAACAAACUUGUGGCUUGGAGGCAUUUUGAAAAAAAAAAAAAAUGCUUUUAACCAACUGCUUAAAUUGAAUAUAUUGUGUCUUCUAAUCUCUUUUAUAAAGCCAUAGAUUUUAUCUGUAAAACAAAGAACAACUUUCCUUGAAGUAACACAGGCAGUGAGCAGUAGCUACUGUUUCCUGUCAGGGGCUGCAGUUACUUAUAUUUUAGGUUAGCUUGCUUCUUGUCUUCAGCUUUGCUUACCAGUUCCUUUGCAUUUUAAAUGUUUGAGCGAAUCAGCUUAGUGGCUUAUUUUGGGUGAUUGCUGGGUACUUUUUUGAGCAGUGUAGCACAUAGGAGGAAGUUAAAUUAACUUCUGCAUUUUCACAGCUGAUCUUAAGUGAAUUAAUUCGCAAGUUUAGACUAGCAAAAAAUGAGACCUGGAUGGUUAUAAGCUGAUCUACAAGAUACAUCCCUGUGCAUUUUCAAGUAGAAGCAUGCCUUGUAGUGUAGGAGUAUAUUCACAUCUACUUGUGUUUUAAUAACUCCCGAUUCUGAAAUGUAGCCCCUUAUAGAGCUUCAACUCUUUGCCCUUUUAGAAUAGCUCGCUUAAAAAGAUUUACUAAUCAUUUCAGCUGGAAUAAAGUAGUCACUCAAGUCCGGAAGGGAUAAGUUAGAAUUUCUGGGCCUUUUUUUUUUUUUUAACAAAGUAUAUGUUGUAGCAAUGUCAAAUAGUGGAACAGGGCAGCAAGUUUUUGGCUUUUACUCUGGCCCAUCUUCCCUUUGAGAUGUGACUUUAAAUAAGUGGGCUCAAAGCAUGUUCUUCUGGAAAGCACUUUGAAAAUCUUUUGAAAGAGACCAUGAUAUUCAGCCUCGAAGGCAGGGCUUUCCUGGGAUUGCAUGUGUACCUUUUAGCAGAAGCCUGCCUCUAGAAGGAGUGUGAAUUUCCAGGCAUACCACCAGUAAGGUGAGGCGGCAGUGAAGUAGUUAAGUAUUUAUCAAAGCGCAGGCCUAGCCAGAACUUCCAGAGAAGGCUAUCUGGUGUGAUAAUCAUAAACAUUUAUGGGGUUCUGCCAGUGCUCAGCACCAGGCAGGAACAGAAAAGAGGGGCCUUUCUGAGAGAGUCUGUUAGCAAAGUUACAGAGGAGCGUUGGGGUGGACAUUAAAGAAAGGCAAUAGCUUGGAGGAGAAACCCUGGAGAUUGGAAAGGCUUGGGAACCUGCUGGGAGAGGUCAGCCCCUCCCUGCUUUACACUUCUCAGCAAAUCAGUUGGGGAAAUUAGAUUCACAGUGGCCUUCCUCACAGUGGACCUUCCAACUCUGUGAUGUCCAGUAAUGAUAGCCAGCAGCUGUGUGUGGUAAUUAAGUUUAAAUAAAAAUUGAAGUGAAUUAAAAUUAGGCUCCUCAGUUACACUAGCCACAGGUCGAGGCUCAGUUGCUGUGUGUGGCUAGUAGCAGCCGUAUUUGGGCAGCACAGAUAGAGAGCAUUUCCACUAUUGCUGAAAGUUCUAUUGGAUAACACUGCUCCAGCUACUGAAAAUGUAAGUAUGAGAUCGUCUUAAAAAUAGUUCUGUGGUAUAUACUUGAGAGUACAGUUAUAGUAAUUUUGCUUUUGAAGUUGGUCUUUUUUUGAAUGGUACCUCUCAGAGCAUGGUAAUGGAUUUAUGGUAGGUCCGUCUCCGUGGGCCUAUCAUAGUGUACCCAUGCUAGAGUAGACUGCAGCCUCAAACCGCUGCUCAGCCUCCUUACCUGUGGGCUGCGAGCACUGAAGGGAGUUUGUACAGUGUGAAAAUAAGAUGAUGCCUCUCAUCAUCCUGCUGAAUCUUGCCUGUGACAUCCUACUAAAAGCCUAAAUCUCCUUUGGUACCUGAUUCUGAGGGUUAGCACAAUCCCAGAAGCUCUCUCAACCACUGCUUCAAAGUCUGAUCUCCUCUCACUCCACCCAAAAGAAAAACUAAUUCAUUGAUCACCUUCCAGAACCGUGCACUUUGCAGUAAGCUUUUAGUUUCACUUCCUUUCAUAAUGUGCCUAUGUAGCAGAUAGCAGUUCUGAUUUACAGUUGGCAAAACUGGGACUCUUGGGAGUUACUGAGGGAGUAGACGCUGUGAGGCAUUGUGCAGGCACCCUUCCCUGCUGAUUCCUGAUGUUGUUUAAGAUAUGUCACACCCAGGCUAUAAUCAUCUCAGUCUGGUACAUCUGGGCAAGUGGUCUAGAGAUCCUGCCAAUGGGCUGCCCUAAGGGCUGUAGGGAUUGUUAUCUCAGCAUAUCUGUAACUUAGUCACAAGACUCUUGGGAAACUUUGCUGUCCACAUAGCAUCUCACUUAGUCUUCACAACAACCUUGUGUGGUAGAUAUUUUUAAUCUCCAUUUUCUAGAAAAGGAACCUUUGGCUCGCGGACAUUUGAGUACCGUUGCCUGUGGUUUCUUAGCCAGAAAGUGACAGAAUUUGAGGUGAAGAGUCAGCUCUGAAAGACGUGCUUUUUCUAUGAUGAAACGCACUCUCAGCAUCCAAAACUCCAGCAGACAGUAGAACAGAAAACCAUUUACCUUUUUGGCCUAUUAAAUGGUAUCCUUCCCUCCAGACCAGUCUUAACCCCUGCUAGCUCACAAUUUUAAACCACAAAAGUAAAUAACAGAUACCCAGAAUUGUGUGUCUGUUAUGUAAUAUUUAAAUAUAUCACAGUUCCAGGUCUCGGAAUUGUGAUAUAUUUCCCACUCCAUGCAGUCUCCUGGUUGGGGCACAGGCCUCUGACUUCCAGAAGACUUUUUGGGAAGACUUCUUUGGCCUGGUGCUCUCCUCAGCAGCCUGCCUCUCUCUGCAACCUUUAUGCAGCCAUAAAUAGUAAACUAAAAUAUUAAUGGCAAUGAUUUGACAAAUAGUCCCAGUUCGGUCAGCAAACCACUUAGUAUAGAUUUUAGCGACUUCUCCCAGUGGGGAUCUGUGCUCAGGGAACUUUCCUGCCUAGAGAAAUUCAAAUUGUCAGAGUCAAAAUGUUGGAGCCCUAAGGUUAUUUAUCUGUAGUUGAUUUUUCUCAGUCUGUUGAUGAAGUAAGAAAGUGAGGAUCGUGGUCCUUCCUAGCUGAGUAAAGCCUAAAGGUUAAAAACAAAAACAAACCCCAGCUGCCUACUAAGUGAUGCAACAUGGACUUUUAUAAGCCUCCACCCUGCCUCUUUGGCACAGCCAACCUUACUUAGGAAAGUGUGUUCAGUGCUCCCUCCUGUCAUGCAGCUUCUUAAUAUUUCAUUCAAAUGGGCCGUAGAUUAAUAUUUGUACUUCUUUGCUCUUGUUUUCUAGAGAUGAGGAAUGGUAGUUGGCCAUCCAUUGCCUUAAUCUCCAGGCUACAAUUUCAAAUGAAAGAUCAGAAAUGAUUUAAAUUUUCAUCCUAUUCUUUUCAUCUAAACUCACUGCUUCUCCAUAAACCCACUGGAUGCUUCCAUUCUCAGACACCCGAAAUGCUUUUCCUAAGUCAUACAUGAAUGGCUUUGAAGAAGCAAGGUGGAACUUUGUGUGUGAUUUGUAUAGGUUGAUUUUAUAGCAGGGCUAACAUAUGCAUAACAGAAGCCAGUUUUCUUGAAAGCUGUUGUUUAGCCCUGCAGCAGGUUUUUAACAGUCAUAAACCAUGUUAUUUAUUCUGCUAUUUCCCAGCAACUCUGGAGGGUAACUCAGUCUUGGUUCCUUUUACAGUUGAGGGAAUGGAAAUAGUAAAAAAAAAAAAAAAAAAAAACUGAUAUAUGCUUGAUUGUGAGGUCUUUAGCAAGUUAGGCAAGAAUAAAUGUCAAAAUGUGUAUAUCUUGUCUGCUGGCCCAUAAAACAAAGUGGAAUCAUUGGAGUUAUAGAUCAUUAGCUGAUAAAACCAUAGAGUCUUUCUUCGCUUCCUACCAUUGGGCUUUGAGGAGAAGUGAGGAAAGUAUAUGAAGAAGCUUUUCACUGGGGCUUAAUUGACCAUUACCGGUUAUUGUUAGCUAGUAUGUCAUGCUUUGUAGUUAAUAACUCAGCAGCAUUUAGCGAAUAGAAAUCCAUGUACUGCGCCUAGCUGGGAAUUGCACAGAAAACGUUAGACUGUCGUUGCCUUUCAGUAUAAGGUCUUUGUGUCUCUUCUCUUGUUUUAUCUUUAGCAGUUGUAUGACGUAGGUAGCACUUGCGUUCUCUCAUUUUAUACCUGAGUAGGUGAGAAAAUGAAGGCAUUCAGUGCUAGUUUGUCUGAAAAGGAGCUCUCUUUGUGGAUCAAGAGUAACAAACCCAGCUAGUAUUAGUAUCCAUGAGGAGACUAGUAUCCAUGAGGAGGCGGGUUCAAUCCCUAGUCCCACUCAGUGGGUUAAGGAUCCUGUGUUGCUAUGGUGUAGGCUAGCAGCUACAGCUCUGAUUUGACCCUUAGCCUGGGAACUUGCAUACGCCGCUGGUGUGGCCCUAAAAAGACAAAGAAGGAAAAGAGAAGGCUUUAGUUGGGAAAAAAGGUAUCUUGACUGUUCUCAGUGACUUCGCAUUGUUAUUUUGUACUCCGCUUUCCAUGGAAGUACAACAUUGGAAUUUAAAACCAAAACCAAAAAAAAAAAAAAAAACUAGG
Long non-coding RNA from Phacochoerus africanus (Common warthog), 5712 nucleotides. RefSeq lists it as uncharacterized. The record is from RefSeq and is a predicted model, not a curated record. Lineage: Eukaryota; Metazoa; Chordata; Mammalia; Artiodactyla; Suidae. The transcript has 2 exons.